CCAUGGAGCUGGGGCUGCGCUGGGUUCUCCUUGUUGCUCUGUUGAAAGGUGUGCAGUGUGAGGUGCGGCUGGUGGAGUCUGGGGGAGGCUUGGUGCAGCCUGGGAGGUCCCUGAGACUCUCCUGUGCAGCCUCCGGAUUCACCUUCAGUGGUUACUUCAUGGACUGGAUCCGCCAGGGUCCAGGGAAUAGGCUGGAGUGGGUUGCACAAAUUGAUCCAGGAGGUGGUAGCACAUGGUACCCAGACUCUGUGAAGGGCCGGUUCACCCUCUCCAGAGACAACAGUAAAAGCACACUGUACCUGCAAAUGAGCAGCCUGAGAACCGAGGACACGGUCCUGUAUUACUGUGCAAGGCACAGUGAGAGUAGCCAGUGGGAGCCAGGACACACAGGUUGGUAA
This is a non-coding RNA of Dipodomys spectabilis (banner-tailed kangaroo rat), 398 nucleotides long. The record is from the annotation of a RefSeq genome assembly. NCBI's taxonomy places the organism in Eukaryota, Metazoa, Chordata, Mammalia, Rodentia, Heteromyidae.